CUGUUGCUCAGGGUCAGGUAGUUGGGAUCCGACCUAGACCACUCGUUCGGGAUUCUUCGCUAUCGGGAUGGAAACCAGCUGUUCGGUCGGUUCACCCCGUUCUUCCGCUCUCCGCUGGUUCAACUCGUCGGCCGUCAGGGAGUCCUUCGCUUCGUUACUUCGAGCAGAGAUUUGGAAGCAUCGUCGAGCGAGCUGUUGAUCCCCGC
This 206-nucleotide long non-coding RNA is filed under the name Elaeis guineensis (African oil palm). Its description in RNAcentral is "long non-coding RNA (EGUI_LNC003436)". Lineage: Eukaryota; Viridiplantae; Streptophyta; Magnoliopsida; Arecales; Arecaceae. The record is from RNAcentral.